CAAAAUGUAGCUUAACGUAAAGCCCCCCCGCUUACACCGAGGAAAUAUCUGUUAAACCCAGAUCAUUUUGA
This 71-nucleotide transfer RNA is filed under the name Glandirana emeljanovi (Northeast China rough-skinned frog). RNAcentral describes it as "tRNA-Val". It matches the Rfam family "tRNA". Rfam says of the family: Transfer RNA (tRNA) molecules are approximately 80 nucleotides in length. Their secondary structure includes four short double-helical elements and three loops (D, anti-codon, and T loops). The record is from RNAcentral. Lineage: Eukaryota; Metazoa; Chordata; Amphibia; Anura; Ranidae.